Molecule: ribosomal RNA, 225 nt
Filed under: uncultured Hydrogenophaga sp.
Lineage: Bacteria; Pseudomonadati; Pseudomonadota; Betaproteobacteria; Burkholderiales; Comamonadaceae
Description: partial 16S ribosomal RNA
Rfam family: Bacterial small subunit ribosomal RNA
Source: RNAcentral
UGCGCAGGCGGCUUGGCAAGACAGGCGUGAAAUCCCCGGGCUCAACCUGGGAAUUGCGCUUGUGACUGCAAGGCUGGAGUGCGGCAGAGGGGGAUGGAAUUCCGCGUGUAGCAGUGAAAUGCGUAGAUAUGCGGAGGAACACCGAUGGCGAAGGCAAUCCCCUGGGCCUGCACUGACGCUCAUGCACGAAAGCGUGGGGAGCAAACAGGAUUAGAUACCCGGGUA